Molecule: transfer RNA, 73 nt
Filed under: Aspergillus bertholletiae
Lineage: Eukaryota; Fungi; Ascomycota; Eurotiomycetes; Eurotiales; Aspergillaceae
Rfam family: tRNA
About the family: Transfer RNA (tRNA) molecules are approximately 80 nucleotides in length. Their secondary structure includes four short double-helical elements and three loops (D, anti-codon, and T loops).
Source: Rfam by way of RNAcentral
GCCCUUAUAGCUCAGUGGUAGUAGCGCUGCACUUGUAAUGCAGAGGUCGGCGGUUCAAACCCGCCUGGGGGCA